CUUAUGUCCUCGCUGAUUCUUAAAUUUUUAGCAAUUUGGUGCCUUCUGAAAUUAUUGAUGUUUCUGCAGGAAUUAUCAAAGACAGUAGCUAAAUUAGCUGAAGAUGGCAAGGUUGCUAUAAGGAACAUAAGAAGAGAUGCAAUCAAAGCUUAUGAUAAACUAGAGAAGGAAAAGAAGCUUUCUGAGGACAACGUGAAAGAUUUAUCAGCUGAUCUACAA
Long non-coding RNA from Zea mays, 219 nucleotides. RefSeq lists it as uncharacterized. The transcript is spliced from 3 exons. Lineage: Eukaryota; Viridiplantae; Streptophyta; Magnoliopsida; Poales; Poaceae. The record is from RefSeq and is a predicted model, not a curated record.